RNAcentral lists this ribosomal RNA (497 nucleotides) under uncultured bacterium. RNAcentral's name for it is "partial 16S ribosomal RNA". It matches the Rfam family "Bacterial small subunit ribosomal RNA", at positions 28 to 507 of the family's 1533-position model. The record is from RNAcentral.
GAUGAACGCUGGCGGCGUGCCUAAUACAUGCAAGCCGAGCGAACAGACGAGGAGCUUGCUCCUCUGACGUUAGCGGCGGACGGGUGAGUAACACGUGGAUAACCUACCUAUAAGACUGGGAUAACUUCGGGAAACCGGAGCUAAUACCGGAUAAUAUAUUGAACCGCAUGGUUCAAUAGUGAAAGACGGUUUUGCUGUCACUUAUAGAUGGAUCCGCGCCGCAUUAGCUAGUUGGUAAGGUAACGGCUUACCAAGGCAACGAUGCGUAGCCGACCUGAGAGGGUGAUCGGCCACACUGGAACUGAGACACGGUCCAGACUCCUACGGGAGGCAGCAGUAGGGAAUCUUCCGCAAUGGGUGAAAGCUUGACGGAGCAACGCCGCGUGAGUGAUGAAGGUCUUCGGAUCGUAAAACUCUGUUAUUAGGGAAGAACAAAUGUGUAAGUAACUAUGCACGUCUUGACGGUACCUAAUCAGAAAGCCACGGCUAACUACGUG